Myotis davidii is the source of this 74-nucleotide non-coding RNA. The record is from Rfam. Lineage: Eukaryota; Metazoa; Chordata; Mammalia; Chiroptera; Vespertilionidae.
GGCAGUUCUCAGGUGAUGCACCCGGAAUUAGGCUCCCUCCUCUCUGGUUCCGGGUGCAUUACCGGAGAACUGCA